GAUGAACGCUGGCGGCGUGCCUAAUACAUGCAAGUCGAGCGAACAGAUGAGGAGCUUGCUCCUCUGACGUUAGCGGCGGACGUGUGAGUAACACGUGGAUAACCUACCUAUAAGACUGGGAUAACUUCGGGAAACCGGAGCUAAUACCGGAUAAUAUAUUGAACCGCAUUGUUCAAUAGUGAAAGACGGUUUUGCUGUCACUUAUAGAUGGAUCCGCGCCGCAUUAGCUAGUUGGUAAGGUAACGGCUUACCAAGGCAACGAUGCGUAGCCGACCUGAGAGGGUGAUCGGCCACACUGGAACUGAGACACGGUCCAGACGCCUACGGGAGGCAGCAGUAGGGAAUCUUCCGCAAUGGGCGAAAGCCUGACGGAGCAACGCCGCGUGAGUGAUGAAGGUCUUCGGAUCGUAAAACUCUGUUAUUAGGGAAGAACAAAUGUGUAAGUAACUAUGCACGUCUUGACGGUACCUAAUCAGAAAGCCACGGCUAACUACGUG
RNAcentral lists this ribosomal RNA (497 nucleotides) under uncultured bacterium. RNAcentral's name for it is "partial 16S ribosomal RNA". It matches the Rfam family "Bacterial small subunit ribosomal RNA", at positions 28 to 507 of the family's 1533-position model. The record is from RNAcentral.